RNAcentral lists this non-coding RNA (28 nucleotides) under Mus musculus (house mouse). The record is from RNAcentral. Lineage: Eukaryota; Metazoa; Chordata; Mammalia; Rodentia; Muridae.
UAGUUCCCGACUCUCCUUGGAAAUUGAU